GACGAACGCUGGCGGCGCGCUUAACACAUGCAAGUCGAGCGAAGCGGCGGAAGGGUGAGUAACACGUGAGUAACAUGCCUUAGACAUUGGGAUAGCCUCGGGAAACCGGGAUUAAUACCAAAUGGUUGAAGAUUGACUCGCGUCCCAUUAGCUAGUUGGUGAGGUAACGGCACACCAAGGCGACGAUGGGUAGACGGCCUGAGAGGGUGAACGGCCACAUUGGAACUGAGAAACGGUCCAAACUCUACGGGAGGCAGCAGUGGGGAAUAUUGCACAAUGGAGGGAACUCUGAUGCAGCGACGCCGCGUGAACGAAGAAGGCUUUCGAGUCGUAAAGUUCUUUUAUAUGGGAAGCGGUACCAUAAGAAAAAGCCCCGGCUAACUACGUGCCAGCAGCCGCGGUAAUUC
This 407-nucleotide ribosomal RNA is filed under the name uncultured bacterium. RNAcentral's name for it is "partial 16S ribosomal RNA". It matches the Rfam family "Bacterial small subunit ribosomal RNA", at positions 28 to 526 of the family's 1533-position model. The record is from RNAcentral.